RNAcentral lists this ribosomal RNA (735 nucleotides) under uncultured Fusobacterium sp. RNAcentral describes it as "bacterial SSU rRNA". It matches the Rfam family "Bacterial small subunit ribosomal RNA", at positions 28 to 776 of the family's 1533-position model. Lineage: Bacteria; Fusobacteriati; Fusobacteriota; Fusobacteriia; Fusobacteriales; Fusobacteriaceae. The record is from RNAcentral.
GAUGAACGCUGACAGAAUGCUUAACACAUGCAAGUCAACUUGAAUUUGGGUUUUUAACUUAGAUUUGGGUGGCGGACGGGUGAGUAACGCGUAAAGAACUUGCCUCACAGCUAGGGACAACAUUUAGAAAUGAAUGCUAAUACCUGAUAUUAUGAUUUUAAGGCAUCUUAGAAUUAUGAAAGCUAUAUGCACUGUGAGAGAGCUUUGCGUCCCAUUAGCUAGUUGGAGAGGUAACAGCUCACCAAGGCGAUGAUGGGUAGCCGGCCUGAGAGGGUGAACGGCCACAAGGGGACUGAGACACGGCCCUUACUCCUACGGGAGGCAGCAGUGGGGAAUAUUGGACAAUGGACCGAGAGUCUGAUCCAGCAAUUCUGUGUGCACGAUGAAGUUUUUCGGAAUGUAAAGUGCUUUCAGUUGGGAAGAAAUAAAUGACGGUACCAACAGAAGAAGCGACGGCUAAAUACGUGCCAGCAGCCGCGGUAAUACGUAUGUCACGAGCGUUAUCCGGAUUUAUUGGGCGUAAAGCGCGUCUAGGUGGUUAUGUAAGUCUGAUGUGAAAAUGCAGGGCUCAACUCUGUAUUGCGUUGGAAACUGUGUAACUAGAGUACUGGGGAGGUAAGCGGAACUACAAGUGUAGAGGUGAAAUUCGUAGAUAUUUGUAGGAAUGCCGAUGGGGAAGCCAGCUUACUGGACAGAUACUGACGCUAAAGCGCGAAAGCGUGGGUAGCAAACAGG